RNAcentral lists this long non-coding RNA (988 nucleotides) under Sus scrofa (pig). Its description in RNAcentral is "lncRNA (ENSSSCG00070014636.1)". Lineage: Eukaryota; Metazoa; Chordata; Mammalia; Artiodactyla; Suidae. The record is from RNAcentral.
UGGGCGCGCUACCCACAACCUCCCGCGCCAAAGCGCGCGAAAAUCGCGGGUUGUAGCACUACGUCUUUUUGAUGGUCUGCAUCCGCGUUUCUCCUGAAAAAAAGUCCGUCUUUCCUCCAGGGCUCCACGCUGCCCCUUCCAGAAACAUGCUAAGAAGAAGGAAUUUAGAGUCUAAAAAACCUGGACUUGGCCCUUGGCAGCUAGCGCUGAAGCUGACCUCAGGACUAUCUUAUUUUCCGAAAGAUCUGAACUGCAGAGGGUCAUUCUGCCCUUGAAAAGAAACCAAGAUAAAAGGAAACAGCUCUCAGGAAUUAUAAGCAAAACACAACCAGACACUCACUGCGGAUUGCCCCAUUUUCCACCUCUUUAGUAAGUGGUUUGGCUUUUAGUGCAUUGCAGAUAUAUGUGCUUGGGUAGCCCUUUUCUUUGCAACGGGAUUUGAUUCUCCUUAUUCUUUUCCUGUCUAUGCCUAGUAAGUCUUGAAAAUCCUUCACUUCUUCAUUCCACAGAUGUUUACUGAAUGCCUGCUAUGUGCAAGAUACUGAUUCUUCCUCUGCUGUGACUUUUGGAUAAUCCAGACUUGAAUUGAGGGGGCAUUGCUGGCUUGAAAAUGAUCCAAGAGCAGAAGAAACACUUCUCAAAAUCAUCCACCAAACAAACAAAAAUUGAGAAACAUAGAUUUUUUGUUUGUUUGUUUUUUCUCUUCAAGAAUGAACCAGGACUCUAACUUUGGAUUUUCAGUAAGUCAUAUAACCUGUCUACGUAAAGCCUUCCAUUUUCAUCUUUUGAUUCAUCUUAUCUGUAAGAUGAAUUAAUCACACCCUCCUAUGACUUCUCCUUUGGCCACUUAUCAUUCUCAGACUGUCCUGAAUUGAAUUAUUAGGAAGUACAGGCCUUGGAAAUGAAGCCAAGAUAAAAGGAAAAUACUCAAGUUCCCUACUUUCCCUUAGGAAAUAAAGCAGAUUAAAGUAGUGCUCUUCCGGGUUUU